This 173-nucleotide unclassified non-coding RNA is filed under the name uncultured Ascomycota. Its description in RNAcentral is "sequence contains ITS1". The record is from RNAcentral. Lineage: Eukaryota; Fungi; Ascomycota.
CCGAGUGCGGGCCCUCUGGGUCCAACCUCCCACCCGUGUUUAUUGUACCUUGUUGCUUCGGCGGGCCCGCCAUUCUGGCCGCGAAGGGGCACCUGCCCCUACGCCCGCGCCCGCCGAAGACAUCUCGAACUCUGUCUGAAGAUUGAAGUCUGAGUGGAAUUACAAAUUAGUUA